This 783-nucleotide ribosomal RNA is filed under the name Burkholderia cenocepacia. RNAcentral's name for it is "bacterial LSU rRNA". It matches the Rfam family "Bacterial large subunit ribosomal RNA", at positions 2154 to 2925 of the family's 2925-position model. The record is from RNAcentral. Lineage: Bacteria; Pseudomonadati; Pseudomonadota; Betaproteobacteria; Burkholderiales; Burkholderiaceae.
GCUAUGAAACCGGAACGCUAGUUUCGGUGGAGCCGUCCUUGAAAUACCACCCUGGUUUGUUUGAGGUUCUAACCUUGGCCCGUGAUCCGGGUCGGGGACAGUGCAUGGUAGGCAGUUUGACUGGGGCGGUCUCCUCCCAAAGCGUAACGGAGGAGUACGAAGGUACGCUAGGUACGGUCGGAAAUCGUGCUGAUAGUGCAAUGGCAUAAGCGUGCUUAACUGCGAGACCGACAAGUCGAGCAGGUGCGAAAGCAGGUCAUAGUGAUCCGGUGGUUCUGUAUGGAAGGGCCAUCGCUCAACGGAUAAAAGGUACUCUGGGGAUAACAGGCUGAUACCGCCCAAGAGUUCAUAUCGACGGCGGUGUUUGGCACCUCGAUGUCGGCUCAUCUCAUCCUGGGGCUGUAGCCGGUCCCAAGGGUAUGGCUGUUCGCCAUUUAAAGAGGUACGUGAGCUGGGUUUAAAACGUCGUGAGACAGUUUGGUCCCUAUCUGCCGUGGGCGUUGGAUAUUUGAAGGGGGCUGCUCCUAGUACGAGAGGACCGGAGUGGACGAACCUCUGGUGUACCGGUUGUCACGCCAGUGGCAUCGCCGGGUAGCUAUGUUCGGAAGAGAUAACCGCUGAAAGCAUCUAAGCGGGAAACUCGCCUUAAGAUGAGAUAUCCCUGGGGACUAGAUCCCCUUGAAGGGUCGUUCGAGACCAGGACGUUGAUAGGUCAGGUGUGUAAGCGCAGUAAUGCGUUCAGCUAACUGAUACUAAUUGCCCGUAAGGCUUGAUCCUAUAACA